This 253-nucleotide ribosomal RNA is filed under the name uncultured bacterium. RNAcentral's name for it is "partial 16S ribosomal RNA". It matches the Rfam family "Bacterial small subunit ribosomal RNA", at positions 524 to 776 of the family's 1533-position model. The record is from RNAcentral.
UACGGAGGGUGCAAGCGUUAUCCGGAAUUACUGGGUUUAAAGGGUGCGUAGGCGGCUUGAUAAGUCAGGGGUGAAAGACUAUCGCUUAACGAUAGAAUUGCCUUUGAUACUGUAAAGCUUGAAAGGGGUUGAGGUCAGCAGAAUGUGGCAUGUAACGGUGAAAUGCAUAGAGAUGCCAUAGAACGCCGAUUGCGAAGGCAGCUGGCUGGGCCUACUUUGACGCUGAGGCACGAAAGCGUGGGGAGCGAACAGG